Molecule: ribosomal RNA, 254 nt
Filed under: uncultured bacterium
Lineage: Bacteria
Description: partial 16S ribosomal RNA
Rfam family: Bacterial small subunit ribosomal RNA
Source: RNAcentral
CGGGUGAGUAACACGUAUGCAACCUGCCUGCCACAGCCGGAUAAUCGGGAGAAAAUUCCGUCUAAUACGGCAUAAUGCAUCGACGGGACAUCCUGUUGGUGCCAAAGGUUGAUUCCGGUGGCGGAUGGGCAUGCGUCGCAUUAGUUAGUUGGCGGUGUAACGGACCACCAAGACGACGAUGCGUAGGGGUUCUGAGAGGAAGGUCCCCCACACUGGUACUGAGACACGGACCAGACUCCUACGGAAGGCAGCAG